Molecule: transfer RNA, 72 nt
Filed under: Candidatus Woesearchaeota archaeon
Lineage: Archaea; Nanobdellati; Candidatus Woesearchaeota
Description: tRNA-Asn
Rfam family: tRNA
About the family: Transfer RNA (tRNA) molecules are approximately 80 nucleotides in length. Their secondary structure includes four short double-helical elements and three loops (D, anti-codon, and T loops).
Source: RNAcentral
GUCCCGAUAGCUUAGCGGUGGAGCGUGCGGCUGUUAACCGCAAGGUCGCCAGUUCGAUCCUGGCUCGGGACG